GUUUUUGUGCGCUCGGCAUCACAAAACCAUUGAUGAUAAAGAUUCGCUUUUCAUUCCGAAUAUCUAUACUAUAUAUCACUGACAAUUUUGUACAUCGCUCAUUCUACCCGAAGAGGAUUAGUCGGACACAGUUGGAGCCCUUUAUCGCGCCAUCCUUGCUGACACAGAUGGUGCGAGACAGGUGCAUUUUGGACCGAUGGUCAAACUUGCAUCAAUGCAAAAGUGGCCAAACCCACAGCCCAGCUGGCAGGAGGCACGUCCCCAUGACAACUGAGAUUCCCUGGGGUCCCCGAUGGACUGAUGAAUACAGGAGUAGGGAGACAGGUAUGCGUCCAGUAUAUCCACACAUAUUGAAGGGGUUCUUCUAAAGACAGAGGAUUAACCACUACUAUUGGUGGUAAUGAUGUCUUGUAGGCUCCGUUCCUCCAUUAAAUUUGUAUUGACUAUUGUUUUUAUUAGGGGAGCUACCGAAGCAAGAUAUUAAUUUCAAUUAGGUCAGUGUAAGGUAAAACAUUUCAAAUAAGAUUUAAAAAAAAGGUUAAUAACUGUUUAGUAACUGUUCCUAAUCACCUAUGAUUCUGGGAAUUUUAUUAACCCUUCCCUCCUGCAUCCCAUGGUAUCUUUAGGCAGUAGUCAAGUCCAACGGUCCAGCCUCUCUUUGGUAGGGUUUUGGGGGCAGGUGUUCCAGGGGGUUGCGUUCCACUUUCUGCUGCUUGCUGCUCUGUGUUUCUCUCCAGAUAUGCUGAGGAGGAUACUGAGAUGGUGCCAGCCCUCAGAUGCCAUUUAGACGAGUCAACAACAUGACCAGACUGACAGAGCUGUCUACAAAGCUGUUUUCUAAACAGUUGUCAACGCGGUUCAUCCUUACCGAAUUGGAACUGGGACAGGAACUGGGACCUAUGGCUUUCACCCACUGACGAAUGAACAUUACUACAAGGCUACUGACGGAGCACACUUCUUUUGCUAUCGAUUUGUGUUAGAAGGAGAUCUUACAGUGAUUAUUAUUGUUAUUAUUAUUAUUUGGAAGUACCAUUGGCAUGUUGCUGGCCCCUUUAAUUGUAGUCUAUUUUAUGCCGACGUCAUUCAGGACGUCAUUCAGGACCACAUUUCAUGCCAUAAGAGAGACCCAUAAAGGGUGGGGUUUUAGUGUUGUCUGAUGCUUUGGCGCUUUCAUUUCUUUAAAUAUUGUUUACCUGAGGGAGCUCUCUCCCCUCCACUGUAAAAUAACACUUUAUCAUCCCCUUCCACACUGUUCAGCUGAUCAAAGCAGCGAGAGACUAACACCUCUCUCUGAUGCCUGCUUCUCCUCAUGCUGUCAGCACCUUUCUCUUCUCGGUAACCUUGGCAACACUUUUAACACCUUACUCACUUCCUUCUACCUCUGAUGUCUAACAUGACUAACAAGGUUGAGUCUGCUAAGAUGGCCUUCCUGCUAAUUUAAUUGAUGUGCUCCUAAAGGCGUCAGCAUGCUUCAGUUUGGCUGACGCCUUCCCGAAGUUGGCUAGGCAAACCGAACAAGUGGGCUUGCAUCCUCCCUUAAAAGAUCUUCACUUGGAAAACAAUAAAAAAGCGACAAUAGUACCGAUUGUCCAUUUUGACAUACCGUAGCCAGUAUAAACUUACUCAAAAUAUUCAGAAUGAAUCUAAGAUAACUCAAGAAAUCCGUCAUACAAUUUGACGUUUUUGCAGAGAUCUUAGUCGCGCAAUUUGACAUCUAAUUGAGAUGUCUGGUGCAGUAUUUCUCAAUGAAAACAUUUGCAUGAAAACAUGUCGUCUCUCGUUGAAUUACAACAAAGACUUUAUUGAAGAAUCCCUACUGUUGACCAAUCACCAACGAAGGAGCGUAGAUUUCGGCUACCGACUUUGGCUUGCCUCUAGAAAAAAUGUUGAGCUCGAACAGCCGAAAAAAACAUUGCUAAAGUCCAGAGCUAACAAAAACAUCACAAAAUGAUGUCAUAAUAUAUGCACAAAUUCUAUUGAACUGUUUUGGCUGGGAAGCAUGCGGACGUCUUAACCCAGUUGACAUACCCAUACCACUCCAGCAGCUCAUGCUUGUUAUCGUUAGUCUACUCUAAUGUUACAGGAGUGUUAUGAGGAUGUUAUGACUUUAAUAGGGUUGUGUCAGUGUUUGUGGCGGUGUUUGGAUGGUCUCCCGAGGCCUGGUUUGUCUUGUGAUUUCUGCAUGUACUGCAACUCCCAAUAACCUCAGCUAGAGUCAUAUAGAACUAACCAACACCAGAGUAAUCCUGGUUUGCUAACCUGGACUAACAAUCUAACAGUCACUAAUCAAGAUAAUCAACCAAACUAAACCCCAAGCCCCGUUGAGGGUAGGACGGCUCAUUUGAAUGGCCGGAACGGAGCAAAUGGAAUGUUAUCAAACACAUGGAAACCAUAUAUUUGAUAUAUUUGAUACCAGUCUAUUCAUUCUGCUCCAGCCAUGAGCCCUUCCUCCCAAAUUAAGGUGCCAACAAAGUCCUGUGGUGUAGGUGUACAUUUUGAGUUUAAGAGUGUGGCUCUUAGUGUAAUUAAUUUCCUUACCCAUUGAAACCAAACCAUCAGCUCUCUUGGCAUUCCUUAAUAAAUACACUAACAAAUACCCUCUAAUACCUAACAGUACUAAUGUCUGGUAACAGACAUUUUGUUACUUACACUAACCUGUACUAUACUAACUUGUACCUCUCCCAUUUUCCUGAAACCUUUCUUCCACCAGACACAGAUCACCCAAAAUCAUAUACAAUAACUAUGUAUUUAUCUAUCUGUCAUAACCUUAAGCUCAGUAAGUUGCUUGUUGAGAUGUUUUACUUUUGGCCCCUAAAGCACAACGGUGAGAAUGAUUCCAGGAUCUGGGAUGGGAAGCUGGAUUAACCAAUAGAUUUAAAGACAAAGCGCACCUACCUACCUGUAGCUCACUGGGUUGACCACACACUUCUGCUCAGGGGACGCCUAAAAACAUGUUACAAAUGUUUCAGUAACUAUGCUAAAGAAUUGUAUUAUUUUUUGUCAAAAGUGUUCCAUCUUAAUAGUUUAACAAAUAAUGGCUGACAAAUGUUUGUCCCCCUGUCCAUUGUGUGGCCAACCUCUAAAAGGUAUUGCAGCUCAGUGCUUGGUUUGUAGCCUGCAUAGACACAUGUGUAUUCUCUUAUUAGAUAAACCAAAGCAAAUAGCAACCCUUACCUGUUUUACUACUAACUGAGUGGUGACUGGUAUAUGAACAACAACCCUGGAUAAGGCCUAAUACUUUGGCCAUUGAUUUCUUGCUCUUACAGUAUGUUAGUAUCUUCUCUCAGACUAACACGUGGUGCUUCUUUCAAUGAAGUCUAACCAUGCUGUGACCAACUUAUCACCCAUCAUUUCUCCCUGCCCCUUGGUGAGAUCAAACAGCAUCUAGUAGGCCAUGCAGUAUCGUUUCUUUACUUCCUGAGUCGUCAUGAGGAUAGACAUCCCUGUGUCCUUGAUCGUGUGACACUUUACUUAACCUGCACUAGAGUGAGAAAGCACUAACUAUUGGGGCAUGAAACAGCUUCCCAGAAACUAACAAACUAACUAACCUACUAAUUAACUAAUUAUCUAACAAACUAACUGAAAUGACUAAUUGUGUACUGAGAGUUAUCAGGUUUUGGUUCAGCAAGCCAUCCCCCCCUGUGUGCGUGUGUGUGUACGUGUGUGUUGCGCGUGUGUGUGUGUGUGUGUGUGUGUACAUUGAUUCUCAAACUGUGUGCAUGAUGCCGUCAUUGUUUUUGUCUGAAUGAGUGUUAAGGAUUCAGCAUGCUCCAGUUCGGCUGGCGCCUAGCCAAAUUCGGCUAGGUGAACCGAAUGAGUCUGCCGCAUACUCCCUUAAAAGACCUUUGCUUGAAAAUUUGAAAAAGCAGCAAUAGUACUGUUUAUCAAUUUGAGAUGCCAUAGCCAGUACAUGCUUCCUUAAAAUAGUCAGAAUUAAUCGAAGAUAAUUCAGGAAAUCUGUCAUUAAUUUAGACUUUUUUGCAGAGGAGAUCUUAGUCAUGCAAUAGUACAUCUAAGAUUUUUGGUGCAGUAUUUCUCAAUUAAUAAAUGUGCAUGAAAACGAGUCGUCUAUCAUUAAAUGACAACAAAGACUUUAUUGAAGAAUCCCUACGGUUGACCAAUCACCGAUGAAUGGGGGUUAAUUUCGUCUCAGAACUUCGGUUUGCCUCUAGAAUGUUUUGGAUGUGUCAGAACAGCCCACCGAAGUCCAAAACUAACAAAAACGUCACAUAAUGUCUUCAUAAUAUAUGCACAAACUCUUCCGAACUGUGUUGACUGGGAAGCAUGAGGACGCCUUAAGUGUGUAUGUUUUUCUAUCAGUUUUUUCUAUGGAGUAACGUUAUGCUAUAGCAAUGUUGUCUUCAUCCACUAUUUACACAAAUGACUGAUGAUUGGCUGAUGAUAAAAUUAUUGUAGAGGCUGUUUUCUUAGACUUCAGUGCGGCUUUUGACAUGAUCGAUCAUAGUUUGCUGCUGGAAAAACGUAUGUGUUAUGGCUUUACAUCCCCUGCUAUAUCGUGGAUAAAGAGUUACCUGUCUAACAGAACACAGAUGGUGUUUUAAUGGAAGCCUCUCCAACAUAAUCCAGGUAGAAUCAGGAAUUUCCCAGGGCAGCCCGUUACUUUUUUCAAUCUGUAGUAAUGACAUGCCACUGGCUCUACUCAAUUGCGGAUGACUCAACACUAUACCCGUCAGCUACUACAGCGACUGAAAUGACCGCAACACUUAACAAAGAGCUGCGGUUAGUUUCAGAAUGGGUGGCAAGGAAUAAGUUCGUCCUAAAUAUUUCUAAAACUAAAAGCAUUGUAUUUGGGACAAAUCAUUCACUAAACCCUAAACCUCAACUAAAUCUUGGAAUACAUAAUGUGGAAACUGAGCAAGUUGAGGUGACUAAACUGCUUGGAGUAACCCUGGAUUGUAAACUGUCAUGGUCAAAACAUAUUGAUAGAACAGAAGCUAAGAUGGAGAAAAGUCUGUCUGUAACAAACAGCUUGGACACAGUUCGGACAACCAUGCACAAGACAUGCCACAAGAGGUCUCACAAGAGUCCCCAAGUCCAGAACAGACUAUGGGAGGUGCACAUUACUACAUAGAGCCAUGACUACAUGGAACUCAACAUCAACAUCAAGUAACUGAUGCAAGUAAUAAAAUUUGAUUUAAAAAAACAGAUAAAAUACACCUUAUGGAACAGCAGGGACUAUGAAGCAACACAAACAUAGGCACAUACACUUAACAUAGGCACACACACACAUAUACACACACACACACAAUAACAUACGCACUAUACACACACAUAAACAGGGAUUUUGUAUUGUAGAUAUUUGGUAGUGGAGUAGGAGCCUGAGGGCACACAGUAUGUUGAGAAAUUUGUUGUGAAUGUAUUGUAAUGUUUUUCAAAUUGUACAACUGCAUUAAUUUUGCUGUUUGGCAGCAGCUAAUGGGGAUUAAUAGUAAAAACAAAUGCACAUUUAGAACUGAUUUAGCAAAAACUAAGACCACAUUUAUUAUACAGACUCAACUGUCAAAGGUGGGUUCAGUUUUGCUUUGGAGGACCUAGUGUCUUUCAGAGUAGCUUCAAUCAAAAGCGUCACUAGUCAACACAGUGUCUAAGUGGUUUUGAUCCUUGUCCUUUGUGUGGUGUCACUACAGAAUUAUUCACAAAAUAUGGCUGGGAUGUUGAAAAACUGAUAAUAGCCUUACUAUCUUUUAUUUCAUCUGCUGUAUUGAUAAAACAUAUUUACCAUUCCCUUGUCUCUGUUGAAUAA
Molecule: long non-coding RNA, 5764 nt
Organism: Oncorhynchus tshawytscha (Chinook salmon)
Lineage: Eukaryota; Metazoa; Chordata; Actinopteri; Salmoniformes; Salmonidae
Source: Ensembl